This 63-nucleotide microRNA precursor is filed under the name Nautilus pompilius. RNAcentral describes it as "Npo-Mir-1989_pre stem-loop". Lineage: Eukaryota; Metazoa; Mollusca; Cephalopoda; Nautilida; Nautilidae. The record is from RNAcentral.
UCAGCUGUCAUGAUGCCUUUUUUAGUAAAAUUAGAAUACAGAAAGUCAUUAAGACAGCUGUUA